RNAcentral lists this non-coding RNA (24 nucleotides) under Arabidopsis thaliana (thale cress). Lineage: Eukaryota; Viridiplantae; Streptophyta; Magnoliopsida; Brassicales; Brassicaceae. The record is from RNAcentral.
AUCUCUGGGCACUUGUAUCUCUGA